This 467-nucleotide ribosomal RNA is filed under the name uncultured bacterium. RNAcentral's name for it is "partial 16S ribosomal RNA". It matches the Rfam family "Bacterial small subunit ribosomal RNA", at positions 28 to 507 of the family's 1533-position model. The record is from RNAcentral.
GAUGAACGCUGGCGGCGCGCCUAACACAUGCAAGUCGAACGAUUAAAGCACCUUCGGGUGUGUAUAAAGUGGCGAACGGCUGAGUAACACGUGGGCAACCUGCCCCUUUCAUUGGGAUAGCCACGGGAAACCGUGGAUAAUACCGAAUACUUCGAGACUUCCGCAUGGAAGACUCGAGAAAGCUCCGGCGGAGAGGGAUGGGCCCGCGGCCUGUUAGCUUGUUGGUGGGGUAACGGCCUACCAAGGCAAUGAUGGGUAGCUGGGUUGAGAGACCGACCAGCCAGAUUGGGACUGAGACACGGCCCAGACUCCUACGGGAGGCAGCAGUGGGGAAUCUUGCACAAUGGGCGAAAGCCUGAUGCAGCGACGCCGCGUGCGGGAUGAAGGCCUUCGGGUUGUAUACCGCUUUCAGCAGGGACGAGGCGAAAGUGACGGUACCUGCAGAAGAAGCCCCGGCUAACUACGUG